Molecule: ribosomal RNA, 391 nt
Filed under: Entamoeba histolytica
Lineage: Eukaryota; Evosea; Mastigamoebida; Endamoebidae
Description: SSU rRNA
Rfam family: Eukaryotic small subunit ribosomal RNA
Source: RNAcentral
GAUCUGAGUAUAUCAAUAUUACCUUGUUCAGAACUUAAAGAGAAAUCUUGAGUUUAUGGACUUCAGGGGGAGUAUGGUCACAAGGCUGAAACUUAAAGGAAUUGACGGAAGGGCACACCAGGAGUGGAGCCUGCGGCUUAAUUUGACUCAACACGGGAAAACUUACCAAGACCGAACAGUAGAAGGAAUGACAGAUUAAGAGUUCUUUCAUGAUUUAUUGGGUAGUGGUGCAUGGCCGUUCUUAGUUGGUGGAGUGAUUUGUCAGGUUAAUUCCGGUAACGAACGAGACUGAAACCUAUUAAUUAGUUUUCUGCCUAUAAGACAGAAAUGUUCGCAAGAACAGGUGCGUAAGUACCACUUCUUAAAGGGACACAUUUCAAUUGUCCUAUUU